RNAcentral lists this ribosomal RNA (495 nucleotides) under uncultured bacterium. RNAcentral's name for it is "partial 16S ribosomal RNA". It matches the Rfam family "Bacterial small subunit ribosomal RNA", at positions 28 to 507 of the family's 1533-position model. The record is from RNAcentral.
GACGAACGCUGGCGGCGUGCCUAAUACAUGCAAGUAGAACGCUGAAGGAGGAGCUUGCUUCUCUGGAUGAGUUGCGAACGGGUGAGUAACGUGUAGGCAACCUGCCUGGUAGCGGGGGAUAACUAUUGGAAACGAUAGCUAAUACCGCAUAAUAGCAGUUGUUGCAUGAUAACUGUUUGAAAGGUGCAAUUGCACCACUACCAGAUGGACCUGCGUUGUAUUAGCUAGUUGGUGGGGUAACGGCUCACCAAGGCGACGAUACAUAGCCGACCUGAGAGGGUGAUCGGCCACACUGGGACUGAGACACGGCCCAGACUCCUACGGGAGGCAGCAGUAGGGAAUCUUCGGCAAUGGACGGAAGUCUGACCGAGCAACGCCGCGUGAGUGAAGAAGGUUUUCGGAUCGUAAAGCUCUGUUGUAAGAGAAGAACGAGUGUGAGAGUGGAAAGUUCACACUGUGACGGUAUCUUACCAGAAAGGGACGGCUAACUACGUG